AUGCAGUCGAACGGCUUCUAGAAACUAGAAUCGAGAAGCUAGAACUGAUUUAAAUNUCUAGUUUUAGAAUCUGGAUUCUAAUUUCUAGAGGUAGUGGCGGACGGGUGAGUAACGCGUGAGCAACCUGCCUUACAGAGGGGGACAACAUUGGGAAACCGAUGCUAAUACCGCAUAACACAUAUCUACCGCAUGGUAGAAAUGUCAAAGAUUUAUCGCUGUAAGAUGGGCUCGCGUCCGAUUAGAUAGUUGGUGAGGUAAUGGCUCACCAAGUCUGCGAUCGGUAGCCGGACUGAGAGGUUGAACGGCCACAUUGGGACUGAGAUACGGCCCAGACUCCUACGGGAGGCAGCAGUGGGGGAUAUUGCACAAUGGGGGAAACCCUGAUGCAGCAAUGCCGCGUGAGGGAAGAAGGUCUUCGGAUUGUAAACCUUUGUUUUUAGUGACGAAAAAAAUGACGGUAGCUAAAGAGAAAGCUCCGGCUAACUACGUGCCAGCAGCCCGCGGUAAUACGUAGGGAGCGAAGCGUUGUCCCGGAUUUACUGGGUGUAAAAGGUGC
RNAcentral lists this ribosomal RNA (556 nucleotides) under uncultured Clostridia bacterium. RNAcentral describes it as "bacterial SSU rRNA". It matches the Rfam family "Bacterial small subunit ribosomal RNA", at positions 55 to 570 of the family's 1533-position model. Lineage: Bacteria; Bacillati; Bacillota; Clostridia. The record is from RNAcentral.